AUUAUUGGCGAACGGGUGAGUAACACGUGGGCAAUCUGCCCUGCACUCUGGGACAAGCCCUGGAAACGGGGUCUAAUACCGGAUACUGACCCGCUUGGGCAUCCAAGCGGUUCGAAAGCUCCGGCGGUGCAGGAUGAGCCCGCGGCCUAUCAGCUUGUUGGUGAGGUAAUGGCUCACCAAGGCGACGACGGGUAGCCGGCCUGAGAGGGCGACCGGCCACACUGGGACUGAGACACGGCCCAGACUCCUACGGGAGGCAGCAGUGGGGAAUAUUGCACAAUGGGCGAAAGCCUGAUGCAGCGACGCCGCGUGAGGGAUGACGGCCUUCGGGUUGUAAACCUCUUUCAGCAGGGAAGAAGCGAAAGUGACGGUACCUGCAGAAGAAGCGCCGGCUAACUACGUGCCAGCAGCCGCGGUAAUACGUAGGGCGCGAGCGUUGUCCGGAAUUAUUGGGCGUAAAGAGCUCGUAGGCGGCUUGUCACGUCGGUUGUGAAAGCCCGGGGCUUAACCCCGGGUCUGCAGUCGAUACGGGCAGGCUAGAGUUCGGUAGGGGAGAUCGGAAUUCCUGGUGUACCGGUGAAAUGCGCAGAUAUCAGGAGGAACACCGGUGGCGAAGGCGGAUCUCUGGGCCGAUACUGAC
Molecule: ribosomal RNA, 640 nt
Filed under: bacterium LFBA1A
Lineage: Bacteria
Description: bacterial SSU rRNA
Rfam family: Bacterial small subunit ribosomal RNA
Source: RNAcentral